AUGCGUCCGCCUUUCGCCUCCUUCGUGCUUGCGGGGGUGGGGGACAGAGGAGUGCGGGGCAGCUUGGGAUUGCUUCGGGUCAGGCCGUGGAAACCAGGGGCUGCCCUUUGGGCGCUUGGGGACAGAAAGAAUACUCUCCAGCCCGGGACAUCUUGGAACUCCGCCUUCGCCUCCUUUCCUUCCCUUCCACCCUUCCACUCUCCUUUCCUCCCUGACUUCCUUUGGGGCCGGGUCCCCGCUCAGCCUCAGCGUUCUUUGUGUUCGGCCUCCCAAGUUGCCUGGGCAAUUCGGAAAAGUUGGCUUUCGCCUGCGGAAACGCUCCGGCUACGUAUUUGUGCCCUCCCUGCACAAGUCGCGGGCCCAGGAAGAGUUCGGUCGGGAGGGCACCCCGCUGGCACCUGUUGUGAGGCGGCAAGGAAUAGCGGCUCAGAAAAACGAACGAAGGCCGCUAGUAGGGACGGACAGACGGACGGGAGGCCACCGGGAACCGGCCCGGGAAGGAGCCCUCGCCCGGUCCGUAGCCUUGCGGCGGCCCUUCAAGCCCGGGGCUGGCGGGAAUGGGAUGGGGUGGACGGAAGAGUGCUCGGCUCUGGCCGGCGAAGGGCGGCGGCAGCUACCGCAGUACCCCACGUCUUUUCGCUUCGGCCAGGCUGCCGGGGGUGGCGAGGAGGAUUCGCAAGUCCUGGCCUGACCGACUUUCUCUCAGGCUUUGCUUUGGCUCUCUCUGAGCGAGGCGGGGAGUGGCCCCUGCCAGGGUUCAGGCACUCUCGGCCCGCCCUCCCAUCCCGGACUUUCGUUGCCCUCCUCCCUCUGUAUUUGCAGGCUGCCGUCUGUCCGACAAUCAGUCCCUCAGGUCCCGCUGGGGUCCGGCAGUCGGACCACUCAAUUAGGACUCCCUCUAACAGGGCUGUUUGCAUUUCCUUUAAGCAAGCCCGGGGCCUGGGAUUACCCCCUCUCCCACCAAAAGGAAAACCCAAGACCCCGCGUGGGGCGGUGGCGGCGGCAGCUUCCAGCCCAACCAGUCCUGGGGCUGGUGCGCCCCCACCGCCUCAGGCCCCCGUGAUCGCCCCACAGUCUCUUUGGCUUCGCGGAUUGAUCUCCCUCCUUGUUGAGUUAAUUCAACAAAGACUUUUUGCGAUCGCUUUGGAGUUUGUCUGA
Molecule: long non-coding RNA, 1158 nt
Filed under: Phascolarctos cinereus (koala)
Lineage: Eukaryota; Metazoa; Chordata; Mammalia; Diprotodontia; Phascolarctidae
Description: lncRNA (ENSPCIG00000031589.1)
Source: RNAcentral